AUUGAACGCUGGCGGCAGGCCUAACACAUGCAAGUCGAACGGUAACAGAAAGCAGCUUGCUGCUUUGCUGACGAGUGGCGGACGGGUGAGUAAUGUCUGGGAAACUGCCUGAUGGAGGGGGAUAACUACUGGAAACGGUAGCUAAUACCGCAUAACGUCGCAAGACCAAAGAGGGGGACCUUCGGGCCUCUUGCCAUCGGAUGUGCCCAGAUGGGAUUAGCUAGUAGGUGGGGUAAAGGCUCACCUAGGCGACGAUCCCUAGCUGGUCUGAGAGGAUGACCAGCCACACUGGAACUGAGACACGGUCCAGACUCCUACGGGAGGCAGCAGUGGGGAAUAUUGCACAAUGGGCGCAAGCCUGAUGCAGCCAUGCCGCGUGUAUGAAGAAGGCCUUCGGGUUGUAAAGUACUUUCAGCGGGGAGGAAGGGAGUAAAGUUAAUACCUUUGCUAAUUGACGUCACCCGCAGAAGAAGCACCGGCUAACUCCGUG
This 490-nucleotide ribosomal RNA is filed under the name uncultured bacterium. RNAcentral describes it as "partial 16S ribosomal RNA". It matches the Rfam family "Bacterial small subunit ribosomal RNA", at positions 30 to 507 of the family's 1533-position model. The record is from RNAcentral.